GGAUGAACGCUAGCGGGAGGCCUAACACAUGCAAGCUGAGCGGUAGAGAUCUUUCGGGAUCUUGAGAGCUGCGUACGGGUGCGGAACACGUGUGCAACCUGCCUUUAUCAUKGGGAUAGCCUUUCGAAAGGAAGAUUAAWACCCCAUAAUAUAUAGAGUGGCAUCACUUUAUAUUGAAAACUGAGGUGGAUAAAGAUGGGCACGCGCAAGAUUAGAUAGUUGGUGAGGUAACGGCUCACCAAGUCGAUGAUCUUUAGGGGCCUGAGAGGGUGAUCCCCCACACUGGUACUGAGACACGGACCAGACUCUACGGGAGGCAGCAGUGAGGAAUAUUGGACAAUGGGUUAGCGCCUGAUCCAGCCAUCCCGCGUGAAGGACGACGGCCCUAUGGGUUGUAAACUUCUUUUGUACAGGGAUAAACCUUUCCACGUGUGGGAAGCUGAAGGUACUGUACGAAUAAGCACCGGCUAACUCCGUGCCAGCAGCCGCGGUAAUACGGAGGGUGCAAGCGUUAUCCGGAUUUAUUGGGUUUAAAGGGUCCGUAGGCGGAUGCGUAAGUCAGUGGUGAAAUCUCACAGCUCAACUGUGAAACUGCCAUUGAUACUGCGUUUYUUGAGUGAGGUUGAAGUAGCUGGAAWAAGUAGUGUAGCGGUGAAAUGCAUAGAUAUUACUUAGAAAACCAAUUGCGAAGGCAGGUUACUAAGUCUCAACUGACGCUGAUCGACGAAAGCGUGGGGAGCG
This 741-nucleotide ribosomal RNA is filed under the name uncultured bacterium. RNAcentral's name for it is "bacterial SSU rRNA". It matches the Rfam family "Bacterial small subunit ribosomal RNA", at positions 27 to 770 of the family's 1533-position model. The record is from RNAcentral.